Molecule: ribosomal RNA, 586 nt
Filed under: uncultured bacterium
Lineage: Bacteria
Description: bacterial SSU rRNA
Rfam family: Bacterial small subunit ribosomal RNA
Source: RNAcentral
ACGGGUGAGUAAUGCCUAGGAAUCUGCCUGGUAGUGGGGGACAACGUUUCGAAAGGAACGCUAAUACCGCAUACGUCCUACGGGAGAAAGCAGGGGACCUUCGGGCCUUGCGCUAUCAGAUGAGCCUAGGUCGGAUUAGCUAGUUGGUGGGGUAAUGGCUCACCAAGGCGACGAUCCGUAACUGGUCUGAGAGGAUGAUCAGUCACACUGGAACUGAGACACGGUCCAGACUCCUACGGGAGGCAGCAGUGGGGAAUAUUGGACAAUGGGCGAAAGCCUGAUCCAGCCAUGCCGCGUGUGUGAAGAAGGUCUUCGGAUUGUAAAGCACUUUAAGUUGGGAGGAAGGGCAGUAAGUUAAUACCUUGCUGUUUUGACGUUACCGACAGAAUAAGCACCGGCUAACUCUGUGCCAGCAGCCGCGGUAAUACAGAGGGUGCAAGCGUUAAUCGGAAUUACUGGGCGUAAAGCGCGCGUAGGUGGUUUGUUAAGUUGGAUGUGAAAGCCCCGGGCUCAACCUGGGAACUGCAUCCAAAACUGGCAAGCUAGAGUACGGUAGAGGGUGGUGGAAUUUCCUGUGUAGCGGUAA